Molecule: ribosomal RNA, 2931 nt
Filed under: Escherichia coli
Lineage: Bacteria; Pseudomonadati; Pseudomonadota; Gammaproteobacteria; Enterobacterales; Enterobacteriaceae
Description: 23S ribosomal RNA
Rfam family: Bacterial large subunit ribosomal RNA
Source: RNAcentral
GGGUUGUGAGGUUAAGCGACUAAGCGUACACGGUGGAUGCCCUGGCAGUCAGAGGCGAUGAAGGACGUGCUAAUCUGCGAUAAGCGUCGGUAAGGUGAUAUGAACCGUUAUAACCGGCGAUUUCCGAAUGGGGAAACCCAGUGUGAUUCGUCACACUAUCAUUAACUGAAUCCAUAGGUUAAUGAGGCGAACCGGGGGAACUGAAACAUCUAAGUACCCCGAGGAAAAGAAAUCAACCGAGAUUCCCCCAGUAGCGGCGAGCGAACGGGGAGCAGCCCAGAGCCUGAAUCAGUGUGUGUGUUAGUGGAAGCGUCUGGAAAGGCGCGCGAUACAGGGUGACAGCCCCGUACACAAAAAUGCACAUACUGUGAGCUCGAUGAGUAGGGCGGGACACGUGGUAUCCUGUCUGAAUAUGGGGGGACCAUCCUCCAAGGCUAAAUACUCCUGACUGACCGAUAGUGAACCAGUACCGUGAGGGAAAGGCGAAAAGAACCCCGGCGAGGGGAGUGAAAAAGAACCUGAAACCGUGUACGUACAAGCAGUGGGAGCACGCUUAGGCGUGUGACUGCGUACCUUUUGUAUAAUGGGUCAGCGACUUAUAUUCUGUAGCAAGGUUAACCGAAUAGGGGAGCCGAAGGGAAACCGAGUCUUAACUGGGCGUUAAGUUGCAGGGUAUAGACCCGAAACCCGGUGAUCUAGCCAUGGGCAGGUUGAAGGUUGGGUAACACUAACUGGAGGACCGAACCGACUAAUGUUGAAAAAUUAGCGGAUGACUUGUGGCUGGGGGUGAAAGGCCAAUCAAACCGGGAGAUAGCUGGUUCUCCCCGAAAGCUAUUUAGGUAGCGCCUCGUGAAUUCAUCUCCGGGGGUAGAGCACUGUUUCGGCAAGGGGGUCAUCCCGACUUACCAACCCGAUGCAAACUGCGAAUACCGGAGAAUGUUAUCACGGGAGACACACGGCGGGUGCUAACGUCCGUCGUGAAGAGGGAAACAACCCAGACCGCCAGCUAAGGUCCCAAAGUCAUGGUUAAGUGGGAAACGAUGUGGGAAGGCCCAGACAGCCAGGAUGUUGGCUUAGAAGCAGCCAUCAUUUAAAGAAAGCGUAAUAGCUCACUGGUCGAGUCGGCCUGCGCGGAAGAUGUAACGGGGCUAAACCAUGCACCGAAGCUGCGGCAGCGACGCUGAUGCGUUGUUGGGUAGGGGAGCGUUCUGUAAGCCUGUGAAGGUGUGCUGUGAGGCAUGCUGGAGGUAUCAGAAGUGCGAAUGCUGACAUAAGUAACGAUAAAGCGGGUGAAAAGCCCGCUCGCCGGAAGACCAAGGGUUCCUGUCCAACGUUAAUCGGGGCAGGGUGAGUCGACCCCUAAGGCGAGGCCGAAAGGCGUAGUCGAUGGGAAACAGGUUAAUAUUCCUGUACUUGGUGUUACUGCGAAGGGGGGACGGAGAAGGCUAUGUUGGCCGGGCGACGGUUGUCCCGGUUUAAGCGUGUAGGCUGGUUUUCCAGGCAAAUCCGGAAAAUCAAGGCUGAGGCGUGAUGACGAGGCACUACGGUGCUGAAGCAACAAAUGCCCUGCUUCCAGGAAAAGCCUCUAAGCAUCAGGUAACAUCAAAUCGUACCCCAAACCGACACAGGUGGUCAGGUAGAGAAUACCAAGGCGCUUGAGAGAACUCGGGUGAAGGAACUAGGCAAAAUGGUGCCGUAACUUCGGGAGAAGGCACGCUGAUAUGUAGGUGAAGUCCCUCGCGGAUGGAGCUGAAAUCAGUCGAAGAUACCAGCUGGCUGCAACUGUUUAUUAAAAACACAGCACUGUGCAAACACGAAAGUGGACGUAUACGGUGUGACGCCUGCCCGGUGCCGGAAGGUUAAUUGAUGGGGUUAGCGCAAGCGAAGCUCUUGAUCGAAGCCCCGGUAAACGGCGGCCGUAACUAUAACGGUCCUAAGGUAGCGAAAUUCCUUGUCGGGUAAGUUCCGACCUGCACGAAUGGCGUAAUGAUGGCCAGGCUGUCUCCACCCGAGACUCAGUGAAAUUGAACUCGCUGUGAAGAUGCAGUGUACCCGCGGCAAGACGGAAAGACCCCGUGAACCUUUACUAUAGCUUGACACUGAACAUUGAGCCUUGAUGUGUAGGAUAGGUGGGAGGCUUUGAAGUGUGGACGCCAGUCUGCAUGGAGCCGACCUUGAAAUACCACCCUUUAAUGUUUGAUGUUCUAACGUUGACCCGUGAUCCGGGUUGCGGACAGUGUCUGGUGGGUAGUUUGACUGGGGCGGUCUCCUCCUAAAGAGUAACGGAGGAGCACGAAGGUUGGCUAAUCCUGGUCGGACAUCAGGAGGUUAGUGCAAUGGCAUAAGCCAGCUUGACUGCGAGCGUGACGGCGCGAGCAGGUGCGAAAGCAGGUCAUAGUGAUCCGGUGGUUCUGAAUGGAAGGGCCAUCGCUCAACGGAUAAAAGGUACUCCGGGGAUAACAGGCUGAUACCGCCCAAGAGUUCAUAUCGACGGCGGUGUUUGGCACCUCGAUGUCGGCUCAUCACAUCCUGGGGCUGAAGUAGGUCCCAAGGGUAUGGCUGUUCGCCAUUUAAAGUGGUACGCGAGCUGGGUUUAGAACGUCGUGAGACAGUUCGGUCCCUAUCUGCCGUGGGCGCUGGAGAACUGAGGGGGGCUGCUCCUAGUACGAGAGGACCGGAGUGGACGCAUCACUGGUGUUCGGGUUGUCAUGCCAAUGGCACUGCCCGGUAGCUAAAUGCGGAAGAGAUAAGUGCUGAAAGCAUCUAAGCACGAAACUUGCCCCGAGAUGAGUUCUCCCUGACUCCUUGAGAGUCCUGAAGGAACGUUGAAGACGACGACGUUGAUAGGCCGGGUGUGUAAGCGCAGCGAUGCGUUGAGCUAACCGGUACUAAUGAACCGUGAGGCUUAACCUUACAACGCCGAAGGUGUUU